This 322-nucleotide ribosomal RNA is filed under the name uncultured bacterium. RNAcentral describes it as "bacterial SSU rRNA". It matches the Rfam family "Bacterial small subunit ribosomal RNA", at positions 30 to 353 of the family's 1533-position model. The record is from RNAcentral.
AUUGAACGCUGGCGGCAUGCCUUACACAUGCAAGUCGAACGGUAACGCGGGGCAACCUGGCGACGAGUGGCGAACGGGUGAGUAAUAUAUCGGAACGUGCCCAGUAGUGGGGGAUAGCCCGGCGAAAGCCGGAUUAAUACCGCAUACGACCUACGGGUGAAAGGCGGGGGAUCGCAAGACCUCGCGCUAUUGGAGCGGCCGAUAUCAGAUUAGGUAGUUGGUGGGGUAAAGGCCUACCAAGCCUACGAUCUGUAGCUGGUCUGAGAGGACGACCAGCCACACUGGGACUGAGACACGGCCCAGACUCCUACGGGAGGCAGCA